GUCCAGCAGCCGCGGUAAUACCGGCAGCUCAAGUGAUGGCCACUCUUAUUGGGCCUAAAGCGUCCGUAGCUGGCCGCGCAAGUCCGUCGGGAAAUCCAUCAGCCCAACUGAUGGGCGUCCGGCGGAAACUGCACGGCUUGGGACCGGAAGGCUCGAGAAGUACGUCCGGGGUAGGAGUGAAAUCCCGUAAUCCCGAACGACCACCGAUGGCGAAAGCACUUCGAGAAAACGGAUUCGACAGUGAGGGACGAAAGCCAGGGUCUCCAACCGGAUUAGAAACCCGGGUAGUCC
This 291-nucleotide ribosomal RNA is filed under the name uncultured bacterium. Its description in RNAcentral is "partial 16S ribosomal RNA". It matches the Rfam family "Archaeal small subunit ribosomal RNA", at positions 456 to 747 of the family's 1478-position model. The record is from RNAcentral.